Molecule: ribosomal RNA, 493 nt
Filed under: uncultured bacterium
Lineage: Bacteria
Description: partial 16S ribosomal RNA
Rfam family: Bacterial small subunit ribosomal RNA
Source: RNAcentral
AUUGAACGCUGGCGGCAUGCUUUACACAUGCAAGUCGAACGGUAACAGGUUAAGCUGACGAGUGGCGAACGGGUGAGUAAUGCAUCGGAACGUGCCCGAUCGUGGGGGAUAACGCAGCGAAAGCUGCGCUAAUACCGCAUACGAUCUGAGGAUGAAAGCGGGGGACCGUAAGGCCUCGCGCGAUCGGAGCGGCCGAUGUCAGAUUAGGUAGUUGGUGGGGUAAAGGCUCACCAAGCCAACGAUCUGUAGCUGGUCUGAGAGGACGACCAGCCACACUGGGACGGAGACACGGCCCAGACGCCUACGGGAGGCAGCGGUGGGGAAUUUUGGACAAUGGGCGAAAGCCUGAUCCAGCAAUGCCGCGUGCAGGAAGAAGGCCUUCGGGUUGUAAACUGCUUUUGUACGGAGCGAAAAGGCCCUCUCUAAUACAGUGGGCUCAUGACGGUACCGUAAGAAUAAGCACCGGCUAACUACGUGCCAGCAGCCGCCGUAA